UACGGGGGGGGGUAAGCGUUGUUCGGAAUUACUGGGCGUAAAGGGCUCGUAGGCGGCCAACUAAGUCAUACGUGAAAUCCCUCAGCUUAACUGGGGAACUGCGUGUGAUACUGGAUGGCUUGGAUUUGGGAGAGGGAUGCGGAAUUCCAGGUGUAGCGGUGAAAUGCGUAGAUAUCUGGAGGAACACCGGUGGCGAAGGCGACAUCCUGGACCGGUAUUGACGCUGAGGCGCGAAAGCCAGGGGAGCAAACGGG
This 254-nucleotide ribosomal RNA is filed under the name uncultured bacterium. RNAcentral's name for it is "partial 16S ribosomal RNA". It matches the Rfam family "Bacterial small subunit ribosomal RNA", at positions 524 to 776 of the family's 1533-position model. The record is from RNAcentral.